CGCCGAGGCUGGCCGGAGGGAUCUGGAAGUGGCGCCCGAUGUGGCGGUCCAUCGUCCUGCCCUGCUUCACGAAUAGGGUGUUCGUCUGCGCGAUGAGCGUGCACGGCACGAACAUGGUCGCCAGCAGAGGGAUCACCUUGACGAUCUGCUUCGUCUCCUCCACCUGGGUCACCGUGCACAGGCUCCACCUCGCCGCCGGCGAGCCGUCCUCCUUCACGGCGGCCUUGUUUAGG
This 233-nucleotide unclassified non-coding RNA is filed under the name Hevea brasiliensis (rubber tree). Lineage: Eukaryota; Viridiplantae; Streptophyta; Magnoliopsida; Malpighiales; Euphorbiaceae. The record is from RNAcentral.